Molecule: unclassified non-coding RNA, 4243 nt
Filed under: Hevea brasiliensis (rubber tree)
Lineage: Eukaryota; Viridiplantae; Streptophyta; Magnoliopsida; Malpighiales; Euphorbiaceae
Source: RNAcentral
GUUUGAAUAUGCAAAUGAAUUUGAAUGGUGAAAUAACAUUAAUAGAGAUUAAAUCACAUUCACUAGAUAGGGUUAAAAAGAAUGAAUUAACCCACCAACCUGAGGGGACAAAUAACCUUGUUUCCUUUCCUGCAUAUAACAAUACCUAUCUAUCAAAUGCCAUUAUACACAUCACAGGAACAUCUGCAGCUUCAAAACACUAAAAGGUAAACAGACUAAUUACAAGCAGUAUCCCCCCAAAAAAUAAAAAGAGAAAAAAAAAGGGGGGGGUCAGUGACAUAGGCUAGAGUUAAAGCUUCUGCUCAAUUUGAGAGACCUUUCAUAAUACUAACAUUGAGAGAUCUUCAGAAACUGAAUUCAUGUCAGGCCUCUCAGAUGCUGGUAGGAUACAUCUUAGUCCCACUUGCAGCAUUUCACCAAGAAUCCUGGGUCCCUCCACAUCUGGCCCAUCUACAAGCAGUUUAUCAAAGCACUCGCUGUAUCGGUUUUCUUCAGCUAAUAACCUCACCCAGUCUGUCAGAUCAACUACUCCUGGGUCAACGGAAACAAUCUCCCCAGAACUUUUUCCAGUUAUGAGCUCCAACAAGAUAACCCCAAAUGCAUAGACAUCACUCUUUAAUGAUGGGCAGGGUUUACUUGAGCUAGCAAAUUCAGGAGGCCUAUAGCCAAGAGCACCAGCAUUCAAAACUUGUUCUGCUGUGCCAGCUGAUGUCAAUAUUCGGUGGAGACUGUAAUCUGUGAGCAGUGGAUUCAUGUUUGGAGGCUCUAAUAAAAUGUUUGUGGAUUUGAGGUUGCCAUGGGGUAUUGCUCUCUCAUUGUGUAAGUAGUUCAGACAUCGAGCAACAUUAACAGCAAUCCUGAGUCGAUCAUUAAGAGAUAAAGAUGGGAGUUUUCUUGGCUCUUUAUCUUGCAGAUAGAAGGCCAAACAUUGGGCAUUAACAUAGUUAGAUAAUAUCAUCUUCUCAUGGUCCUUUGGGCCCCAGUAGUAACCCUGAACAGAAACUAAAUUUGGAUGUCUGAUGUUCCCGAGUUUCUUUACUUCCCUUGCAAAUUCCUUCCGCCCUUUUGCUAUUCCCUCUUUUAACCAUUUUACGGCCAGUACAACACCAGAGUCAAGUGUGGCUUUAUAUAGAGUACCAUGGCAACUCCUCCCAAUAACUUCUGCUGGAGCAUGUGAAAGUUCUUCUGCUGUGAACACUAGGGAGCCAUCAAACAGAUGUAAAUCUCCUGCCAAUUUUUCUGGAGAAUAUACUUGGACACCUGGAUGCUCUGAGGAAAGUUGGCUUUUAGAAGGUGAAGGAUUUGAAGAUGACAAAUGAGACAAGGAAGGAUAUAAUCCUUCAUUUUUUCUUAUUGAUUCAGGAUGAUCAGUAGACUUCUGUAGAGCUGAUGAUGUGUCCCCAGGAUGAUAUGCAGAGCCUAACUGUGAUGAUGGAUGAAGACUUUGAUGAAAACUAAAUGAUGAUAAUGACCUGUCCAAACUUUUGUUAAUUGCUGAGGAAUGAGAAACGGAAGAACGCUCUUGUGGGACACCUUCCUGUCCUUCAUCCCCUUUUAAACUUCUCCUACCAUGAUUCUGCCAAUGGGUCCUGUAGUAAAUGGCCAUGCACAAAAUAGCGAUUACAGUUGCAGUACCAACCAUAGCAGUUAUCAAGAAAACUUUCAUAGAAGGUUUCAUGUGAGAUCUAUGCUUCCUUAAAGUCAGCUCUGUAGGACCUUCUGGUGACAAUGGCGAUUUAAGAAAAAUCAAGAAGGGAUUUCCAGGAUGGAAAGCUGAAUCAGGAAACUGCCUCAAGUUAUCAGGUACCACACCAGAGAGAUUGUUAUAAGACACAUUAAAUCCUUUCAACCCAUCUGGAAGGUCCCCUGGAAUGGUGCCUUUGAGUUUGUUGUUGGAUAGGUUAAGAAAAACCAAGUUAUGGAACUGACCGACUUCAGGGGGCAAAAAGCCAUCUAAGGAAUUAUAUGAUAAAUCAAGAGACAUCAAGCUCAAAUUUUGGGAGGAGCCUUGUAUUUCCUGAACAGGGAUUGAGCCAGUGAAAUUGUUGGCUGACAGGUUGAGAUCAGUCAAUGUUGUUGAGUUGAAGAGGUUUGGAAGGAGGAACCCACUGAGAAAAUUAAGGCUAAGAUCAAUCACUUUUAGUUGUGAGUACGUACCCAAAACUGUUGGAAGUUCACCAUUUAAUGAGUUUUUUGAUAUCUUGAGUGAAGUCAACCUCAAGAAUUGAGAAGUUUGGUUUGGCAAACUCCCUGUCAAUGAAUUAUUACUCAACUGAAUAUGUUCCGCAUAAUUUCCCCAGUUCUGAAUUCUUGAUAUAUCUCCUGAGAGCAUAUUAUUACUUAGAUCUAUAAUGGCACAGUGUCCUACAGUGGCAGGUAAGAAGCCUGUCAAUUUAUUUGAAGACAAAUUUAGCUUCUUGAGAGUUGCAGAGGUGAUACUUCUAACUGGACCUGUCAGUUGAUUAAGGCUAAGAUCCAGUUCAGUCAAUAGCAUUGAUUUGUCUUCCAAAAGAGCCUCUGGUAGAGACCCUGACAUCUGGUUACUUCUGAGCCUAAGAAUCUGAAGAGAGACAACAAAUUGAAAUGGAGGUAUAUUACCAUCUAACUGAUUAUUACUAGCAUCAAAGACCUCUAAACUGUCAAAAUAUGGCACUCCAUCAUGAGCAAAGAGCUGUCCAACCAAGGCAUUAUGGCUUAUAUUCAAAUAUUGAAUUGAUGAAACAAAACUGGCAUUCCCAAGUCCCAAAUCCAAUGAGCCAGAUAACUGAUUGCUGCUUAGGUCAACAUGAACCACACUGCCCAACUGGGAAAGAAGUUUCAUUAUAUCUCCAGAAAAGCUAUUAGCCCUUAAAUCUAAAUAUUUCAACCUCUCAAGACUGCCAAAACCAGAGGGAAUCAUGCCUUGAAAAUUGUUUGAAGAAAGAUUCAAAAGCACUAAAUUCCUUAAAUUGACUAUGCCAGAGGGUAGAAACCCAUGAAACAAAUUGCACGAAAUAUCCAAGUACUCAAGGGACUCGAUGGAACCAACAUUUGAGAUAGUUCCCAUCAAAUGGUUAUUGGAAAUUGACAGGUUUCGAAGCAUUUUAAGGCCAGUAAGGACUGGGAAACUAAAGUUCCCAACAAGGCCCGCGUCAUUUAGAGUAAUGGAAUCUACAUUGCCAUCAAUGCAGACAACUCCAUACCAGUUCUGGGGGCAUCCAUCAGAGGCCAAGGAAUUAGAAUCCCAUGAAACAAGAACUUUCCCAGAUGGGUCUUUCUCAAUGCCUUUCUUGAGCUCCAAGAGUGCUUCAAAAUCUGAUUGUCCAAAAGCAUUUACUAGCAGCAACAAUAACACCAAAUAGAUUAUAGGCAUUGCUUCAGUACUUGUCCCAAGUCACAAACUUCAAAGAGAGGGGCAAAGGGAGUAGAAAUUGGAUAAAAUGAACCAAUUUGAAUGAGAAAUGAAGAGAAAUUAAACCACUUUCUCAAAAGCAACUAUUAUAAAUGGAAAGAAAUCAACAAUGUAAUCGUAAUCUAUGCUAAUUUACAUGAAAAUACAAAUGCAUUGGUCAAAAAAUCAGGAUAAUUGGAAGACUACAUCGAACCAAAGACCACAAUAAAAGAAACAUAUAAAAAUUAAGCUUCACAGCUCAAGACUUGACAAAAUUAUGAACCCAUUUUCUCAGAAAUGGAAAAAAUAAAUUCACCAAAACUUUUUGCACCACAAAACGAAGAAAGAGCAGAAACCCAAUUGCGGAUAUGAAGAACAAAAGCGAAUAACCAAAUCAACAAAAAAUAAAGCAGUAAAACAUGACAAAAAUCUACAUCUUUUUAUCAGUUAAAAGCAGCUCAACAAGGAUGGGAAUUUCUGUAAGCAAUGUGCACAAUAACAAGUAAAAGAAACAACAAUGCUUAAACAGAGAAACAAAUGUUCACAGAAAUACAAUAAAGUUGUUGAAAUAAAACGAGGAGAAGCUAAAGAACCUGACCAGAGAUUCGCAACUAAGAAAAGACAAUGUGGAGAUAUAAAUGGAGGUCAGGUGGGUAGUGGGUACUGAAAAAAAUAAAGAACAGUGAAUUGACGAAUAAGAGACCCAACAAACGUGCCAAAAAUAGAAAACACAUCAAGCGACCGAGACUCAGAGACUGAGAGUGAGAGUACAGCAAAAACCAGAGAGAGAGAGAGAUGGAGAGGGUUAGAAAUGGGAGGGAGACAAAAAUGGGAGAGAAAGAGAGAGAGGCGACGCGACGCGGGAAGAAAAAG